Molecule: ribosomal RNA, 302 nt
Filed under: uncultured bacterium
Lineage: Bacteria
Description: partial 16S ribosomal RNA
Rfam family: Bacterial small subunit ribosomal RNA
Source: RNAcentral
GCAGUAGCCGCGGUAAUACGAAGGGGGCUAGCGUUGUUCGGAAUUACUGGGCGUAAAGCGCACGUAGGCGGAUUGUUAAGUUAGGGGUGAAAUCCCAGGGCUCAACCCUGGAACUGCCUUUAAUACUGGCAAUCUCGAGUCCGAGAGAGGUGAGUGGAAUUCCGAGUGUAGAGGUGAAAUUCGUAGAUAUUCGGAGGAACACCAGUGGCGAAGGCGGCUCACUGGCUCGGUACUGACGCUGAGGUGCGAGAGCGUGGGGAGCAAACAGGAUUAGAUACCCGGGUAGUCCCUGUCUCUUAUAC